Molecule: ribosomal RNA, 659 nt
Filed under: uncultured fungus
Lineage: Eukaryota; Fungi
Description: eukaryotic LSU rRNA
Rfam family: 5.8S ribosomal RNA (bases 245-399)
Source: RNAcentral
AAGUCGUAACAAGGUUUCNGUAGGUGAACNUGCGGAAGGAUCAUUACUGAAUUGUCAAACGGGUUGUUGCUGGCCCUCAUAGGGGGCAUGUGCACGCUCUGUUUACACAUCCACUCACACCUGUGCACCCUCUGUAGUUCUAUGGUCUGGGGGACCCUGUCUUCCUUCUGUGGUUCUACGUCUUUACACACACACUGUAAUAAAGUUUUAUGGAAUGUACAUCGCGUCUAACGCAAUACAAUACAACUUUCAGCAACGGAUCUCUUGGCUCUCGCAUCGAUGAAGAACGCAGCGAAAUGCGAUAAGUAAUGUGAAUUGCAGAAUUCAGUGAAUCAUCGAAUCUUUGAACGCACCUUGCGCCCCUUGGCUAUUCCGAGGGGCAUGCCUGUUUGAGUAUCAUGAACACCUCAACUCUCAUGGUUUGCCAUGAUGAGUUGGACUCUGGGGGUUUUGCUGGCCUGUGGUCGGCUCCUCUCAAAUUAAUCAGCCUCCCAGUGUUUGGUGGCAUCACGGGUGUGAUAAAUAUCUACGCUCGCUGUUGUCUGCCAGGUAACCUUUGGUCACAAAGGUUUGCUGGAGCUCACAGAUGUCUCUCCUCAGCGAGGACAGCUUUUUUAACGUUCGAUCUCAAAUCAGGUAGGACUACCCGCUGAACUUAA